AAGUGGGAUGUAAAGGCCAGAGCUCAACCUNGGAACUGCAUUCAGACCUGGCGAACUAGAGUAUGGUAGAGGUGAGUGGAAUUUCCUGUGUAGCGGUGAAAUGCGUCAGAUGGGACGGAACAUCAGUGGCGAAGGCGACUCACUGGACCAAUACUGACGGUGAGGUANCAAAGGGUGGGUAGCAAACAGGAUUAGAUACCCUGGUAGUCCACGCCGUAAACGAUGUAUACUAGCCGUUGGGGUCCUUGAGACUUUAGUGGCGCAGCUAACGCAAUAAGUAGACCGCCUGGGGAGUACGGUCGCAAGAUUAAAACUCAAAAGAAUUGACGGGGGCCCGCACAAGCGGUGGAGCAUGUGGUUUAAUUUGAAGCAACGCGAAGAACCUUACCUACUCUUGACAUCCAGAGAAUUUAGCAGAGAUUCUUUAGUGCCUUCGGGAACUCUGAGACAGGUGCUGCAUGGCUGUCGUCAGCUCGUGUUGUGAAAUGUUGGGUUAAGUCCCGUAACGAGCGCAACCCUUGUCCUUAGUUACUAACAUUAAGUUGAGAACUCUAAGGAGACUGCCGGUGACAAACCGGAGGAAGGGGGGGACGACGUCAAGUCAUCAUGGCCCUUUCGAGUAGGGCUACACACGUGCUACAAUGGCCAGUACAAAGGGUUGCCAAGCCGGGAGGUGGAGCUAAUCCCAGAAAGCUGGUAGUAGUCCGGAUCGGAGUCAACAACUCGACUCCGUGAAGUCGGAAUCGGUAGUAAUCGAGAAUCAGAAUGUCACGGAGAAUACGUUCCCGCCCCUACACACCCCCCCCGUCACACCACAAGAUUGGCCCUUCCAGAAGUCGAGACUCAGUAAGUCGUAACAAGCUGACCACUAGA
This 873-nucleotide ribosomal RNA is filed under the name bacterium 22F07-Zb4-5. Its description in RNAcentral is "bacterial SSU rRNA". It matches the Rfam family "Bacterial small subunit ribosomal RNA", at positions 585 to 1464 of the family's 1533-position model. The record is from RNAcentral.